Rhagoletis zephyria (snowberry fruit fly) is the source of this 829-nucleotide long non-coding RNA. RefSeq lists it as uncharacterized. Lineage: Eukaryota; Metazoa; Arthropoda; Insecta; Diptera; Tephritidae. The record is from RefSeq and is a predicted model, not a curated record.
ACGCAUGAAUAAUAAUUUUUAUUAUGCAAAUUCUUCCAUAAAUCAUGUCGUGUUAAAUUAUUCUUUACCGUAAGGGGGAUCUCCAUAGGAUGCGUAUGUACAAUAUACAAAUUUUUAUAGCAGCACCUACAUAGCAACGCAUGAAAGUGUAAGACAAUUGUGUGAAUUUUGAUUUCUAAGUGUAAAUGUCAAACGCACGCAUACGGAUACGCAUACUAUGGAAGUCCGCCUUUAUGUGUACAUGCGUUGUCACAAGCAAAACUUAAGAAAAUUGCAGUAAAAAGCCAUCACUAAAUUGUAAACAACGAACUAAUAUAAACAAACGGCUGUCAAAAUCGCUACUUUUUUCCUAAAUGCGAAUAUAACGGGCUACUAAGACGACUGCGGCAUUUGUGGUAAACGAUUUUCACGUGGUCACCAUCUUCGAGCGCACCUGGAAUCACUGCUGCAUCAGAACGAUCCUCGCUCUAAAAUACUUCUCAAGCAAAUUAGGCGUGAGGAAGAUCAAAUGGCUGCGUAACGGAAAAGGUCGCUUGACUACUUGUACAGCAGUAUACAAUGAAUAGUAUAUGAAUUCUUUGCUUUCAAAUAUAUAUAACAAGAUUAUACAAAACGAUAAACAGUAGUUUUUAGUAGUACUUGCAUUAUGUUCUUGUAUUUGAAUAUUGAUUGAAUGUGCGCUCACAUUUAAAGUUGUUUUGGCAAACGAGGAAGCAUGUAAAAAUCCUUUUUAUAUCAAAUAUGUUCAUUAAUUAGGCUAAAUUUUACGACUCUACAACAUUGGCAUUGUCUACUGUCGUGCUGAAAUGAGUAAACGACGAAAAUCGUC